Molecule: ribosomal RNA, 459 nt
Filed under: uncultured bacterium
Lineage: Bacteria
Description: partial 16S ribosomal RNA
Rfam family: Bacterial small subunit ribosomal RNA
Source: RNAcentral
CCUACGGGAGGCAGCAGUGGGGAAUAUUGGUCAAUGGUCGGAAGACUGAAGCAGCCAAGCCGCGUGAGGGAGGAAGGUACAGGGUAUCGUAAACCUCUUUUGUCAGGGAACAAAGGCGGGGACGUAUCCACGAGUGAGUGUACCUGACGAAAAAGCAUCGGGUAGCUCCGUGCCAGCAGCCGCGGUAAUACGGAGGAUGCGGGCGUUAUCCGGAUUUAUUGGGUUGAAAGGGUGCGCAGGCGUUCUGUUAAGUCAGCGGUAAAACCCCGGGGCUCAACCCCGGCCCGCCGUUGAAACUGGCAGUCUCGAGUGGGAGAGAGGUAUGUGGAAUGCGCGGUGUAGCGGUGAAAUGCAUAGAUAUCGCGAAGAACUUCGAUGGCGAAGGCAGCAGGCUGGCUCCACACUGACGCUGAGGAACGAAAGCGUGGGUAUCGAACAGGAUUAGAUACCCGUGUAGUC